GUUUUAGGGUAAGUGUGUCCCAUGUAACAUUUGGGACACACUUAUCCUAAAU
RNAcentral lists this microRNA precursor (52 nucleotides) under Cavia porcellus (domestic guinea pig). RNAcentral describes it as "mir-1302 microRNA precursor family". It matches the Rfam family "mir-1302 microRNA precursor family". Lineage: Eukaryota; Metazoa; Chordata; Mammalia; Rodentia; Caviidae. The record is from Rfam by way of RNAcentral.